AGAGCCUCUGGGCGCUGGGCUCAGGAGUCCGGGGGCCGCUGAGGGGCCGCUCGGGGUGCAGGAAAGGGCCACCGGGCCUGGCCGGCCGCGCUCGAGGUGUCGGGCCGCGGGCCUGAGGGAGGCGGAGGGGCCGUGGCCGGCGACGGGGCCCGGAAGCGGUUCUGGAGGCGCAGCAACGGCGAAGUCCCGGGCAGGUGGAUGGCAAGCAUUCCGAUGAGGCAGCCUUGAUCCUCCACAGGAAGGGGUUUGACUGCCACUUCUCGAGCAGAGACACGGGGCUGCUUUGUUCCACAACCCAGGGAAAGAUUUUGGUACAGAAGCUUUUUAGCAUGUUUACUGUCGCAAGUCUCAUACCUUCGUCAUUAUCCUUGAUGCAUUCACCUCCAGACGCCCGAAAUAUAAGUGAGAUCAACUUGAGUCCCAUGGAAAUCAGCACAUUCCGAAUCCAGUUGAGAUGAACCUGGCUUUCAAAUUUGGAUGGGAAGCACUGUCUUUUAUACACUUCUUGGUUUGACAUGCAAUAAGGAAGCACAUUAUUUUAGCUUCUGGCUACUGUGAGGACAUGAAUUCUGUGAUUGUUAUUAUAAUUAUUAUUAUUAUUUUUUUUUUUACUAGUACAGAAAGAAAAAAAAAAAAGCCAUGCUAUAGCCAGUUUUUCUUUAAGUUCCAUCCAUGAAUCACCACCAUCAGUAUGAAUCGAUGCAACAAUGAAGGAAGAAAUGUCUAAAACAACCUCUCCACAGAUUGUAUCUCAGGUUAAA
Long non-coding RNA from Mirounga angustirostris (Northern elephant seal), 761 nucleotides. RefSeq lists it as uncharacterized. The transcript has 3 exons. Lineage: Eukaryota; Metazoa; Chordata; Mammalia; Carnivora; Phocidae. The record is from RefSeq and is a predicted model, not a curated record.